RNAcentral lists this ribosomal RNA (903 nucleotides) under uncultured archaeon. RNAcentral describes it as "bacterial SSU rRNA". It matches the Rfam family "Archaeal small subunit ribosomal RNA", at positions 21 to 904 of the family's 1478-position model. The record is from RNAcentral.
CCCCACUGCUAUCGAGGUGGGACUAAGCCAUGCUAGUUGAACGACCCGGACUAUGGCGGGAAGUGGCAGACUGCUCAGUAACACGUAGCUAACCUACCCUUGGGACGGGUACAACCCCGGGAAACUGAGGUUAAUACCCGAUAGGUGUGGAAUCCUGGAAUGGUACCACGCCCAAAUGUAGACGCAUCCAUGUUUGCGUACACGCCCGAGGAUGGGGCUGCGGCCGAUCAGGCAGUUGGUGAGGUAACGGCUCACCAAACCUUUGACCGGUACGGGCCAUGAGAGUGGUAGCCCGGAGAUGGGCACUGAGACAAGGGCCCAGGCCCUACGGGGCGCAGCAGGCGCGAAACCUCCACAAUUCACGAAAGUGAGAUGGGGUUACCUCGAGUGCCGCCUGAAGAAGGCGGCUUUUCCAUUGUGUAAUGAGCCGUGGGAAUAAGAGGGGGGCAAGACUGGUGUCAGCCGCCGCGGUAACACCAGCCCCUCGAGUGGUGGGGAUGAUUAUUUGGCCUAAAGCGUCCGUAGCCUGCUCUGUAAAUCUUUCGUUAAAUCCAGCGUCCUAAGCGUUGGGCUGCGAGAGACACUGCAGAGCUAGAGGGUGGGAGAGGUCAGCGGUAUUCCUGGGGUAGGGGCGAAAUCCAUUGAUCCCAGGAGGACCACCAGUGGCGAAGGCUGUUGACUAGAACACGCCUGACGGUGAGGGACGAAAGCUGGGGUAGCGAAUCGGAUUAGAUACCCGAGUAGUCCCAGCCGUAAACGAUGCAGGCUAGGUGUUGGGUUGGCCACGUGCCAGCUCAGUGCCGCAGGGAAGCCAUUAAGCCUGCCGCCUGGGGAGCACGGCCGCAAGGCUGAAACUUAAAGGAAUUGGCGGGGAGCACCACCAGGCGUGAAGCCUGCGGUUUA